Non-coding RNA from Desmophyllum pertusum, 73 nucleotides. The record is from the annotation of a GenBank genome assembly. NCBI's taxonomy places the organism in Eukaryota, Metazoa, Cnidaria, Anthozoa, Scleractinia, Caryophylliidae.
GACACGGUGACCUAAUGGUUAGUGCGCUGGAGUCCGGAUCGAGUGGUCUGGGUUCGAGCCCUGGCUGGGGUCA